Molecule: ribosomal RNA, 468 nt
Filed under: uncultured bacterium
Lineage: Bacteria
Description: partial 16S ribosomal RNA
Rfam family: Bacterial small subunit ribosomal RNA
Source: RNAcentral
GACGAACGCUGGCGGCGUGCUUAACACAUGCAAGUCGAACGGAAAGGCCCUGCUUUUGUGGGGUGCUCGAGGGGCGAACGGGUGAGUAACACGUGAGUAACCUGCCCUUGACUUUGGGAUAACUUCAGGAAACUGGGGCUAAUACCGGAUAGGAGCUCCUGCUGCAUGGUGGGGGUUGGAAAGUUUCGGCGGUUGGGGAUGGACUCGCGGCUUAUCAGCUUGUUGGUGGGGUAGUGGCUUACCAAGGCUUUGACGGGUAGCCGGCCUGAGCGGGUGACCGGCCACAUUGGGCCUGGGAUACGGCCCAGACUACUACGGGAGGCAGCGGUGGGGAGGAUUGCACAAUGGGCGGAAGCCUGAUGCAGCAACGCCGCGUGCGGGAUGACGGCCUUCGGGUUGUAAACCGAUUUCGCCUGUGACGAAGCGUGAGUGACGGUAAUGGGUAAAGAAGCACCGGCUAACUCCGUG